GUUGCAGUUAAAAAGCUCGUAGUUGGAUUUCUGGGAGGGUGCCAAUGUCCGCCGUCGCGCGUGCGCAGCGGCGCCCUUCCAUCCUUCUGUUAACGCCUCUCGGCAUUCAUUUGCUGGUGGCGGGCUCAGAUAUUU
Molecule: ribosomal RNA, 135 nt
Filed under: uncultured marine eukaryote
Lineage: Eukaryota
Description: partial 18S ribosomal RNA
Source: RNAcentral